UACGUAGGGUGCGAGCGUUUGUCCGGAAUUAUUGGGCGUAAAGAGCUCGUAGGCGGCUUGUCGCGUCGGAUGUGAAAGCCCGGGGCUUAACUCCGGGUCUGCAUUCGAUACGGGCAGGCUAGAGUGUGGUAGGGGAGAUCGGAAUUCCUGGUGUAGCGGUGAAAUGCGCAGAUAUCAGGAGGAACACCGGUGGCGAAGGCGGAUCUCUGGGCCAUUACUGACGCUGAGGAGCGAAAGCGUGGGGAGCGAACAGG
Molecule: ribosomal RNA, 254 nt
Filed under: uncultured bacterium
Lineage: Bacteria
Description: partial 16S ribosomal RNA
Rfam family: Bacterial small subunit ribosomal RNA
Source: RNAcentral